RNAcentral lists this long non-coding RNA (671 nucleotides) under Olea europaea (common olive). RNAcentral describes it as "long non-coding RNA (OEUR_LNC014538)". The record is from RNAcentral. Lineage: Eukaryota; Viridiplantae; Streptophyta; Magnoliopsida; Lamiales; Oleaceae.
GAGAAAACAAAUCCAAUAAACAUACAUUUCAGGAACAAAAAUCCAAGGGGGAAAAAGCUAAACUCCAGAUGAAUUUUAAUAGUAUAUUGUCUUGAAAUUAUCAUCCACUAAGCACAAAAAAAUCACCUUGAAAAAUAUAAAUAGAAUGCUCUCUCAAAAUGAACUGUUCGUCCAUAUUGAGUCCAAAUUGCUAUGACCCAUAUGUGCAAAAGCUUCCUCAUGAUGUGGCGGUGGUAGGGGAGGUGGUCCGCCAUUGUGGUUUGCAUCGUCGGCGCCGGAAUUUGGGUUUGAACUGUCCAGUUUCGCUGUAGACGAAAUUUGCUAUGGAUUUGAAUUUUCAGCAUUGUCUGAUGUUAUAAAUACAUCAUUAGGAGUGGAAUUAGGUUCUUGGUCGACUUGGAUGAUGGGCAUGUCUGGGUGUCGCUGAAAGUGGAGAUUUCAGCCAUUUUUAAGUGCGUAGGUAAGUUGUUUUUGGGCGAUUUUCACUUGAUUUCUACUGGAGUUAAGGCCAAUGAUUGGGUGGGUAGUGAAGAGGGAAGUGUGCGCUUCAAGUUGGUAUGAAGAUCCGGCGGCCAUGGUGGCCGGAGAUUGGAGUUAUUGGGAUCCAUAAUUGGUGGCUCAAAAAUCCCAAAAGACAGGAGUUAGGAAAUGAAAUGGAGGGAGGGCGGCAG